Molecule: ribosomal RNA, 598 nt
Filed under: Sarcocystis sp. Fu 12-732
Lineage: Eukaryota; Apicomplexa; Conoidasida; Eucoccidiorida; Sarcocystidae
Description: bacterial SSU rRNA
Rfam family: Eukaryotic small subunit ribosomal RNA
Source: RNAcentral
CGCAAAUUACCCAAUCCUGACUCAGGGAGGUAGUGACAAGAAAUAACAACACUGGAAAUUUUAUUUCUAGUGAUUGGAAUGAUGGGAAUUUAAACCCCUUUCAGAGUAACAAUUGGAGGGCAAGUCUGGUGCCAGCAGCCGCGGUAAUUCCAGCUCCAAUAGCGUAUAUUAAAGUUGUUGCAGUUAAAAAGCUCGUAGUUGGAUGUCUGCUGGAAGCAAUCAGUCCGCCCUAUUUGUAGGGUGUGCACUUGAUGAAUUCUGGCAUUUUUGUCCCAAUGAUGUAACGGAGCGGUGGUAUUCGGUGAAAGCCGAGUAUCCCGUUUUCCGAUUAUUGGGAUACUGUUACUUUGAGAAAAUUAGAGUGUUUGAAGCAGGCUAAUUGCCUUGAAUACUGCAGCAUGGAAUAACAAUAUAGGAUUUCGGUUCUAUUUUGUUGGUUUCUAGGACUGAAAUAAUGAUUAAUAGGGACAGUUGGGGGCAUUCGUAUUUAACUGUCAGAGGUGAAAUUCUUAGAUUUGUUAAAGACGAACUACUGCGAAAGCAUUUGCCAAAGAUGUUUUCAUUAAUCAAGAACGAAAGUUAGGGGCUCGAAGACGAU